RNAcentral lists this ribosomal RNA (663 nucleotides) under Triticum aestivum (bread wheat). RNAcentral describes it as "partial small subunit ribosomal RNA". Lineage: Eukaryota; Viridiplantae; Streptophyta; Magnoliopsida; Poales; Poaceae. The record is from RNAcentral.
GUUGAGUCUGGAAUUAUGACAGUUCUUGAUCCACUACGCAAGCCGUUUGCUCAUGUGAAGAGAGCCAAAAAUCGUCUGUACAUUCUCGAGGUGCAGCAGACAGAGCCAGUGUGCUUGCAGGCUGUACACGGCGACGAAGCGUGGCUAUGGCACGCAAGGUAUGGGCAUGUGAAUUUUCACUCAUUGAGAAAACUUGCUAGUGGAGACAUGGUUCGGGGACUGCCACUGCUAGAUCAUAUUGAGCAGGUUUGUGAGGGAUGCAUGGUAGGAAAACAACGGCGAAACCCAUUUCCUGUACAUGCCAAGUUCCGGGCAGAGAAGCCACUUCAGUUAGUGCAUGGAGAUUUGUGCGGCCCCAUUUCGCCGGCAACACCAGGAGGGAAGAAGUACUUCCUCCUCAUGGUUGAUGACAUGACGAGGUUCAUGUGGGUGAUACUUCUCAGGUGCAAAGAUGAAGCAUUUGAAGCUGUGAAGAAGUUCAGAGCUGCAGCAGAGAAUGAAUCAGGACAUAAACUGAAAGUACUUCGUACAGAUCGAGGAGGAGAGUUCACCUCAAAUGAGUUUGCUGUUUACUGUGCCGAGCUGGGUGUGAAGCGACACUUGACGGCACCUUAUUCUCCUCAGCAAAAUGGAGUGGUCGAGCGGAGGAACCAGACCAUUGUG